AUGGGAACGCGAAGAACCUUACCUAGACUUGACAUCUUCUGCAUUAAUCGUAAUGGAUGAAAUCCCUUCGGGGACAGAAUGACAGGUGGUGCAUGGUUGUCGUCAGCUCGUGUCGUGAGAUGUUGGGUUAAGUCCCGCAACGAGCGCAACCCUUAUUACUAGUUGCUACCAUUUAGUUGAGCACUCUAGCGAGACUGCCGUGGUUAACGCGGAGGAAGGUGGGGAUGACGUCAAAUCAUCAUGCCCCUUAUGUCUAGGGCUACACACGUGCUACAAUGGCUGGUACAGAGAGACGCUAAACCGUGAGGUGGAGCCAAACUUUAAAACCAGUCUCAGUUCGGAUUGUAGGCUGAAACUCGCCUACAUGAAGCUGGAGUUGCUAGUAAUCGCGAAUCAGAAUGUCGCGGUG
RNAcentral lists this ribosomal RNA (409 nucleotides) under uncultured bacterium. Its description in RNAcentral is "bacterial SSU rRNA". It matches the Rfam family "Bacterial small subunit ribosomal RNA", at positions 954 to 1364 of the family's 1533-position model. The record is from RNAcentral.